Molecule: ribosomal RNA, 253 nt
Filed under: uncultured bacterium
Lineage: Bacteria
Description: partial 16S ribosomal RNA
Rfam family: Bacterial small subunit ribosomal RNA
Source: RNAcentral
UACGAAGGGGGCUAGCGUUGUUCGGAGUUACUGGGCGUAAAGGGCGCGUAGGCGGCGCAUCAAGUCAGGCGUGAAAGCCCUGGGCUCAACCCGGGAAUUGCGCUUGAGACUGGUGUGCUCGAGUACGGGAGAGGAUAGUGGAAUUCCCAGUGUAGAGGUGAAAUUCGUAGAUAUUGGGAAGAACACCGGUGGCGAAGGCGGCUAUCUGGACCGUAACUGACGCUGAGGCGCGAAAGCGUGGGGAGCAAACAGG